UUAAGCGACUAAGCGUACACGGUGGAUGCCCUGGCAGUCAGAGGCGAUGAAGGACGUGCUAAUCUGCGAUAAGCGUCGGUAAGGUGAUAUGAACCGUUAUAACCGGCGAUUUCCGAAUGGGGAAACCCAGUGUGUUUCGACACACUAUCAUUAACUGAAUCCAUAGGUUAAUGAGGCGAACCGGGGGAACUGAAACAUCUAAGUACCCCGAGGAAAAGAAAUCAACCGAGAUUCCCCCAGUAGCGGCGAGCGAACGGGGAGCAGCCCAGAGUCUGAAUCAGCUUGUGUGUUAGUGGAAGGGUCUGGAAAGUCCGACGGUACAGGGUGAUAGUCCCGUACACCAAAAUGCACAGGUUGUGAACUCGAAGAGUAGGGCGGGACACGUGGUAUCCUGUCUGAAUAUGGGGGGACCAUCCUCCAAGGCUAAAUACUCCUGACUGACCGAUAGUGAACCAGUACCGUGAGGGAAAGGCGAAAAGAACCCCGGCGAGGGGAGUGAAAAAGAACCUGAAACCGUGUACGUACAAGCAGUGGGAGCACGCUUAGGCGUGUGACUGCGUACCUUUUGUAUAAUGGGUCAGCGACUUAUAUUCUGUAGCAAGGUUAACCGAAUAGGGGAGCCGAAGGGAAACCGAGUCUUAACUGGGCGUUAAGUUGCAGGGUAUAGACCCGAAACCCGGUGAUCUAGCCAUGGGCAGGUUGAAGGUUGGGUAACACUAACUGGAGGACCGAACCGACUAAUGUUGAAAAAUUAGCGGAUGACUUGUGGCUGGGGGUGAAAGGCCAAUCAAACCGGGAGAUAGCUGGUUCUCCCCGAAAGCUAUUUAGGUAGCGCCUCGUGAAUUCAUCUUCGGGGGUAGAGCACUGUUUCGGCUAGGGGGUCAUCCCGACUUACCAACCCGAUGCAAACUGCGAAUACCGAAGAAUGUUAUCACGGGAGACACACGGCGGGUGCUAACGUCCGUCGUGAAGAGGGAAACAACCCAGACCGCCAGCUAAGGUCCCAAAGUCAUGGUUAAGUGGGAAACGAUGUGGGAAGGCCCAGACAGCCAGGAUGUUGGCUUAGAAGCAGCCAUCAUUUAAAGAAAGCGUAAUAGCUCACUGGUCGAGUCGGCCUGCGCGGAAGAUGUAACGGGGCUAAACCAUGCACCGAAGCUGCGGCAGCGACACUAUGUGUUGUUGGGUAGGGGAGCGUUCUGUAAGCCGUUGAAGGUGUGCUGUGAGGCAUGCUGGAGGUAUCAGAAGUGCGAAUGCUGACAUAAGUAACGAUAAAGCGGGUGAAAAGCCCGCUCGCCGGAAGACCAAGGGUUCCUGUCCAACGUUAAUCGGGGCAGGGUGAGUCGACCCCUAAGGCGAGGCCGAAAGGCGUAGUCGAUGGGAAACAGGUUAAUAUUCCUGUACUUGGUGUUACUGCGAAGGGGGGACGGAGAAGGCUAUGUUAGCCGGGCGACGGUUGUCCCGGUUUAAGCAUGUAGGCGGAGGUUCCAGGUAAAUCCGGUACCUUUUUAACGCUGAGGUGUGAUGACGAGGCACUACGGUGCUGAAGUAACAAAUGCCCUGCUUCCAGGAAAAGCCUCUAAGCAUCAGGUAACAUCAAAUCGUACCCCAAACCGACACAGGUGGUCAGGUAGAGAAUACCAAGGCGCUUGAGAGAACUCGGGUGAAGGAACUAGGCAAAAUGGUGCCGUAACUUCGGGAGAAGGCACGCUGAUAUGUAGGUGAAGUCCCUUGCGGAUGGAGCUGAAAUCAGUCGAAGAUACCAGCUGGCUGCAACUGUUUAUUAAAAACACAGCACUGUGCAAACACGAAAGUGGACGUAUACGGUGUGACGCCUGCCCGGUGCCGGAAGGUUAAUUGAUGGGGUCAGCGCAAGCGAAGCUCUUGAUCGAAGCCCCGGUAAACGGCGGCCGUAACUAUAACGGUCCUAAGGUAGCGAAAUUCCUUGUCGGGUAAGUUCCGACCUGCACGAAUGGCGUA
RNAcentral lists this ribosomal RNA (1977 nucleotides) under metagenome. RNAcentral describes it as "bacterial LSU rRNA". It matches the Rfam family "Bacterial large subunit ribosomal RNA", at positions 1 to 2003 of the family's 2925-position model. The record is from RNAcentral.